RNA transcript from Elaeis guineensis (African oil palm), 1972 nucleotides. RefSeq lists it as uncharacterized. The record is from RefSeq and is a predicted model, not a curated record. Lineage: Eukaryota; Viridiplantae; Streptophyta; Magnoliopsida; Arecales; Arecaceae.
CUCGAAAAGAGGACAAACCCCAGGGGAGAGAGACGUUUGAGACGAGAAAACCCAAACCCUAAAAGGACGACCUUUUGCUCGAAGAGAAAGAGAAGAAAGAGGGAGGACAUCUCCAAAAGUUAGACAAAUUGCCCCCAUAUCCUUCUCCAAUCAACCCCCCAAAUCUUCCGACUAGCUCCCGAUCCCGCUUCUUUCUCUCGAUUUCGAAGCCUCAUCACGCUAAUCUCGAAUUCCGAAACGCUAAUCGUCCUUCUGGGGUUUUUUAGGGUCUCCCGAGGUCCGGAUCCACGGCUCCUGCCAAUGCCGUGGUGGCCAUGACGACGGAGGUGGUGGCAACGACGCUAAGGCUGGAUCCACCACCGCCGCCCCGCCCCGCUGGAUGCGGCGGCGACGGCUGCGACGCUCGGGACCCCUGGCCGCUCCACCAUGUCCGCCAUCGCACCGUCUUCUGCCGCCUCUGCACCUCCUGCGUCCUCAAGUAUCACUCUGGAUCCUUCUGCGUCGCCUGCUUCGAGCUCCUCGACGCCCUUCCACUGCCGCCGCCGGCAGCGCUGCCCUCCCUUGUACGCUGCUCCAGGUGCCCGUCCAUCGCACACUCUGCCUGCCUCCAAGAAGCCGAGCGCGGAUCCACCUACCUUUGUCCUAGCUGCUCCAACCCCGAGAGCUUUUCUUACUUUCGCGUUAGCAAGGAUGGACAGCAGCGAUCGUUUGAUCUCACGUCGGCGAAGGUGCUCCUCGCCGCCACCCGGCUGUCGGUGGCCUCCAUGAGCAGGGCGGCGGCGGCUGCGAGGGCCGAAGCGGAGAGGAAGGUCAGGGAGGCGGCACUGGCGAGGAAGAGAGCGAGGGAGAUGCUGGAGAGGGUCUUUACGCUCUCGAAGAUGGAGAAGGAGAAGAAGAAGAAGGAAGCUAAUGAGGCCGUGGUGGUUCCCGUGCCGGAGGUGGCGGAGACAAAGAAGAAGAUGCCAAAGCUGAGCAGCACGGUGGCCGCCGUGGUGGGGCAGAAGAGUGUGCAGAACAGGGAUACUGAUAGGUGGAUGAAGUUCCAGGAGCCGGUGGCAACGGCACUGAAGCCAGUUCAAGGUCUUGUAGAUGAUAAAAGCAAGGUGACUUCUUUAACUGGGAUGCAUAACCAUGCUAAUAAUGGUGACAUGAAGGGCAAUUUAGGGAGCCUGUCUCGUUCUGGAAAUAAUGUUGGCCAAAGGGAGAGCAAGGAAAGGGGAGUUCUUUCAGGUACUCAGGGUGCCUUUGUUAAGGAGGAGGAUGGUGUUGUGGGUAGAUGCUGAUAGUGGUCCUAGGUUCCCUCAACCAACUCAAGAUGUAUCAAUCUUUGGGACCAGCUUCAGAGAUAUCUUCAUGGGUUUGCUGAACAAGGUGACUCAGCAUUCAUGAGUUGGUUUUGUGGGUCGUUGUAUGUUUUGAUUUCAGUCCUUGAUGGAUGCCUGCAAUCGUUUGGAGAUUGUUCAGAGCAUUUUGCUGGUUUUUCUUCGAUCUUAAUGGAAGUGCGUGGAAGCACUUGGGGCACAUCUGCUCGUGUGGCAUCUCUUCUCCAAUGACGAGUCUAUCGCUUGCUGUUCGUUUUGUGCACACAGCGUUUAACGUUUUCAUCUUAUCUGGGAAGAUAUUCCAAUAUAUAUUUUGUACAGCAGGAGUUGAAUCGUGGAGUAACCUGUUAUUUGUUUCAAUGUGGCAAAUGUUAUCAUAGUGAUAACGUUAGCUGGACACUGCAAGCCGCAUGUGACCCUCUUGACGCUUCGAGCUGCUUUUCUGCUGGAAGCUCGAAUGAAUUAGAGAAAGAGGCAAAUACAGAGGAUCGGGAGAAAUCCAAGUAGUGCAAUGCGAAGCAAAUUCUGAAUGGAGUGAUUUAGUCAACAGCUUACGCUGUUAUGCAUUUUCAUAUCAGCAUAACAUCAUUUUAUGGGAUUAACGUAUGAGAUCAGUUGUAUCUACUAUAGGGCUCUAUAAUGUAGCCGGU